Long non-coding RNA from Pseudophryne corroboree (corroboree frog), 400 nucleotides. RefSeq lists it as uncharacterized. The record is from RefSeq and is a predicted model, not a curated record. The transcript is spliced from 3 exons. NCBI's taxonomy places the organism in Eukaryota, Metazoa, Chordata, Amphibia, Anura, Myobatrachidae.
ACCUAUUAAAGAUCAGCCCUGGAUCUGAGAAAAUCCGAGACAGACGCAAAGACAAGCACAAACAAGAGGAUGUGCUUUAUAUAGGAUCCUUGCCGGCCUUCAGCCCCCUCCCAAUUUUACUACAUGCCUAUCAACCCUGACAACAGUGUGGUCGGAAGAUGCAGACCCUGGAGCGGAUUGCACUCUUCUCCUGGGCAACAAGGAUCUGAGAAAUUUCUACAGGUUUCGCCAACGUUACCCGGAACACUAAAGAGAGUACGUCAGUAACUCAGUCGGCAUGUGACAGCAUUACAUCAGUAAGUUUACCGUCUGUGACUUCAAAAGACUCUAGGAAGAGAUCAUCGAGACGAACUAAAGCCAAGGAAUCCUGAAAAAGAAAUAGGGCGAGUUAAACAGCAAA